AUACGGAGGGUGCAAGCGUUAUCCGGAAUCAUUGGGUUUAAAGGGUCCGCAGGCGGAUUAAUAAGUCAGUGGUGAAAUCCUCUCGCUCAACGAGAGAACUGCCAUUGAAACUGUUAGUCUUGAAUUCGGUCGAAGUAGGCGGAAUGUGUCAUGUAGCGGUGAAAUGCAUAGAUAUGACACAGAACACCGAUAGCGAAGGCAGCUUACUAGACCUGGAUUGACGCUCAUGGACGAAAGCGAGGGGAGCGAACAGGAUUAGAAACCCUGGUAGUCC
Molecule: ribosomal RNA, 274 nt
Filed under: uncultured bacterium
Lineage: Bacteria
Description: partial 16S ribosomal RNA
Rfam family: Bacterial small subunit ribosomal RNA
Source: RNAcentral